This 16-nucleotide small RNA is filed under the name Arabidopsis thaliana (thale cress). Its description in RNAcentral is "ATSL178190". The record is from RNAcentral. Lineage: Eukaryota; Viridiplantae; Streptophyta; Magnoliopsida; Brassicales; Brassicaceae.
UUUUUUUUCCCUAUAC